Molecule: long non-coding RNA, 1050 nt
Organism: Populus euphratica (Euphrates poplar)
Lineage: Eukaryota; Viridiplantae; Streptophyta; Magnoliopsida; Malpighiales; Salicaceae
Exons: 2
Source: RefSeq, a predicted model, not a curated record
GUAAAAUUCAUGUGUUUCCAAGAGCACAAUAUUCCUAUGAAUCAAGCCCCCCCAUAAUCAACAAAUCAUUGAUCGUCACAACUGCAUCUACGGUUAGUAAUUGGAGAAAAGCAUAACCUUUCAUGAUCACAACAUCAUUUGAUUACUUCUAUAGCACAACCAUAUUUUGAACAACAUGUUUGUCAGCUUUGUUUAAGGUGUCAGCAUUAGCGAUGGCUUUAAGUCAUGGUAGUAUAAGCUCGACAGCAACAUUAACAUCCAUUUCUUCAAAAACCCAAUUUGUUAUUGCUCCGAAAACCAACCCUUUUGUCUUAGAUUCUUGCUGUUUUAAACUGCACAAGAGAAGCUCCUUUUCUGUUCGAUCUAUGGGUUCUUCUGCUUCUUCUUCUCAGAAACCUGACUACAUUCAAGAGUGCCAGCGAGCUGAUUUUGACAGAGCAUAUCAACUAUCAGAGUGAUUUUGUUAUGAGCUAAAACAGAGUUGCUGUGGAGUUCCUCCCCCCUCCAAAUACUCAUUGAUUUCACCAAGCUCUGAAUGAUUUAUUUGAAUCCACUACAAGCGAUCAGGUUGAUGCAGUAUCAACUCAGUUGAUGAAAAGCUUUGUGAUUUUAGCUCAUUAUAUGCCUGUCCCUUUCAUGCAGUGAGAAAUCUUUUGAGAGUAGUUUUUAUUGUUAAGCCCUCAAGAUCAGAAAUUGGAGCUACAGGUUGAAGCACUUUUAUCAUUGGAUCGACUGCAUACAGAAAUCUACAUAUAUGUAAUGUGUGCACGUGCAAACACACUCAUAUUUAUGUGUUUCUGUUGUUCUUGUGAAGUUGCAUCUAUGAGUUGUAUAUUUAAACUUUGGUUUCUCCAUUAAGGAGCACCAUUUUCAGCUGCAGACAGAUUAGUUCCAGUCUUCAUGGACUACUUGAGACCAUCUCAAAGAAUGACGAUUGGAAGGUGGAACGUUGAACUAAUAGAUAUCAUCAUCCUUCAUUUAUGGUGGAGCUGAGAAACUGUGGAAUCUGCAGAUGAUUAGUGGCUUGAGCACCAUUAGCAAAAAUCAGAA